UGGGGAAUAUUGGACAAUGGGCGCAAGCCUGAUCCAGCAAUUCCGCGUGGGUGAAGAAGGUCUUCGGAUUGUAAAGCCCUUUCGGCGGGGACGAUGAUGACGGUACCCGCAGAAGAAGCCCCGGCUAACUUCGUGCCAGCAGCCGCGGUAAUACGAAGGGGGCUAGCGUUGCUCGGAAUGACUGGGCGUAAAGGGCGCGUAGGCGGCACGGACAGUCAGGCGUGAAAUUCCUGGGCUUAACCUGGGGGCUGCGUUUGAUACGUCCGAGCUAGAGGAUGGAAGAGGCUCGUGGAAUUCCCAGUGUAGAGGUGAAAUUCGUAGAUAUUGGGAAGAACACCGGUGGCGAAGGCGGCGAGCUGGUCCAUUACUGACGCUGAGGCGCGAAAGCGUGGGGAGCAAACAGG
Molecule: ribosomal RNA, 404 nt
Filed under: Bacillota bacterium
Lineage: Bacteria; Bacillati; Bacillota
Description: Firmicutes bacterium partial 16S ribosomal RNA
Rfam family: Bacterial small subunit ribosomal RNA
Source: RNAcentral